This 476-nucleotide ribosomal RNA is filed under the name Cladosporium cladosporioides. RNAcentral describes it as "eukaryotic LSU rRNA". The stretch from base 164 to 317 matches the Rfam family "5.8S ribosomal RNA". The record is from RNAcentral. Lineage: Eukaryota; Fungi; Ascomycota; Dothideomycetes; Cladosporiales; Cladosporiaceae.
AUCAUUACAAGUGACCCCGGUCUAACCACCGGGAUGUUCAUAACCCUUUGUUGUCCGACUCUGUUGCCUCCGGGGCGACCCUGCCUUCGGGCGGGGGCUCCGGGUGGACACUUCAAACUCUUGCGUAACUUUGCAGUCUGAGUAAACUUAAUUAAUAAAUUAAAACUUUUAACAACGGAUCUCUUGGUUCUGGCAUCGAUGAAGAACGCAGCGAAAUGCGAUAAGUAAUGUGAAUUGCAGAAUUCAGUGAAUCAUCGAAUCUUUGAACGCACAUUGCGCCCCCUGGUAUUCCGGGGGGCAUGCCUGUUCGAGCGUCAUUUCACCACUCAAGCCUCGCUUGGUAUUGGGCAUCGCGGUCCGCCGCGUGCCUCAAAUCGACCGGCUGGGUCUUCUGUCCCCUAAGCGUUGUGGAAACUAUUCGCUAAAGGGUGUUCGGGAGGCUACGCCGUAAAACAACCCCAUUUCUAAGGUUGACC